GGUCGAAUGGUGUAGUGGUCUAUCACGCUUGCUUCACAUCACGUUCGCAAGAGGCCCCGGGUUCGACCCCCGGUUCGACCU
Molecule: non-coding RNA, 81 nt
Organism: Fusarium duplospermum
Lineage: Eukaryota; Fungi; Ascomycota; Sordariomycetes; Hypocreales; Nectriaceae
Source: the annotation of a GenBank genome assembly